RNAcentral lists this ribosomal RNA (253 nucleotides) under uncultured bacterium. RNAcentral describes it as "partial 16S ribosomal RNA". It matches the Rfam family "Bacterial small subunit ribosomal RNA", at positions 524 to 776 of the family's 1533-position model. The record is from RNAcentral.
UACAGAGGUCUCAAGCGUUGUUCGGAUUCAUUGGGCGUAAAGGGUGCGUGGGCGGCGCGGUAAGUCGGGUGUGAAAUCUCGGAGCUUAACUCCGAAACUGCAUUCGAUACUGCCGUGCUUGAGGACUGGAGAGGAGACUGGAAUUUACGGUGUAGCGGUGAAAUGCGUAGAUAUCGUAAGGAAGACCAGUGGCGAAGGCGGGUCUCUGGACAGUUCCUGACGCUGAGGCACGAAGGUCAGGGGAGCAAACGGG